RNAcentral lists this ribosomal RNA (244 nucleotides) under uncultured bacterium. Its description in RNAcentral is "partial 16S ribosomal RNA". It matches the Rfam family "Bacterial small subunit ribosomal RNA", at positions 116 to 353 of the family's 1533-position model. The record is from RNAcentral.
CGUAGGUAACCUGCCCAUGUGCCCGGGAUAACUUCUGGAAACGGAUGCUAAAACCGGAUAGGUAGCAGACAAGCAUUUGACUGCUAUUAAAGUGGCUAAGGCCAUGAACAUGGAUGGACCUGCGGUGCAUUAGCUAGUUGGUGAGGUAACGGCCCACCAAGGCGACGAUGCAUAGCCGGCCUGAGAGGGCGGACGGCCACAUUGGGACUGAGACACGGCCCAGACUCCUACGGGAGGCAGCAUG